GAGAGAGACAGAGAGAGAGAGAGAGAGAGAGAGAGAGAGAGAUGGGAAACUGUUGUCCCCUUUGACAAUAAGGAAGCGAACAGACAAAGGUGACUUGCCAGACUUGGGCACAAGUCAGUAGAACAGAGAUGACUCCACUGUAAUUUAUAGAAAGGGAGGCCAAGCCUCCUGUCAUCUUGUCCAGAAAUAAAUGGCAUCAAUCAGCUGGCAAAGUGUUUCUCCUGGCUCCUGAUUGGCGGGCUCUCCUUUU
Molecule: long non-coding RNA, 250 nt
Organism: Rattus rattus (black rat)
Lineage: Eukaryota; Metazoa; Chordata; Mammalia; Rodentia; Muridae
Exons: 3
Source: RefSeq, a predicted model, not a curated record